This is a long non-coding RNA of Triticum dicoccoides, 1751 nucleotides long. RefSeq lists it as uncharacterized. The transcript is spliced from 5 exons. NCBI's taxonomy places the organism in Eukaryota, Viridiplantae, Streptophyta, Magnoliopsida, Poales, Poaceae. The record is from RefSeq and is a predicted model, not a curated record.
CUCCCUCUAUCCCGAUCCCCUCCGCCGCACGCGCAACAGCCGCCGGCCACGACUCCCUGGCAACCGGCCUCCCAGCUCCGGCGAAGUGCCACGGCCCCUGCUUCCCACCUCCGGCUACGCGCCACAGCCCCCGCCUCCCUCCUCCUCCGACGCGCCACAGCCUCCGCCUCCCACCUUCGGCGACGCGCCACGCCCUGCCUCCCUCCUUCAGUGACGCUCCACGGCCAACACCUCCCACCUCCGGCGGCCCGCCACGGCCCGGGCCUCCCACCUCUGGCGACGCGCCCUGCCCCGCCUCCCACCUCCAGCGGCCCGCCAUGCUCCCCGCUUCCCACCUCCGGCGACGCGCCACGGCCCCACCUCCCACCCUUGGUGAACGCCGACCGGAGGUAGAACGUCCCGCUGCAGGUCGCGGCCUCCCCGGGCUGCAGGUCGCGGACUCGACCUCGUCGCUGCACACAGUGAACCGUGGCCUCCGCCGCGUGUGGUCGUCCCUGUCCUGUUUCAAGCCCGUUUUCGGCCGCCCAUAGACUGAUUGAACUGACGAGCUUGAUCCCCUUCGACAGUAGCAGCUUCACCCCAGUGCGCCACCCACCACGAUGCCGCCCCAGGCCGUUCACAACAGCCAGUGCAGUCCGUUCACCACCGCCAACCGAGGCCGUUCAACAAUGCAGCGACCAAUCGAUCAUCAGCAUAAAGAUCAUCAUCAGCUGUCCAAGUCGAGCUCUGGCUCCAGUCCAAGUCGAAAUGCGACCAACAUCUUCACCAAGCGCUGCACCCAUUGAUCAUCCACACACGUCCAAAUCCCGGCGCCGCUCGUGAUCUCCACCUCCAUCAGCUCCACUUCGCCAAAGCUAUCAGUCCAAAUGAGGAGGUGUAGCCGGUCCACCCGAUCUCCGACGUCGUAUUCUACCUCCAAAAAAUUUCUUUUUCAGUUCAAUUCUUCGUCACAGGUUCACUGCUAUCACCCGUUUUUGUGAAUCUCUAUUGAAAAUUAGCUCACGUUUUAGUGAAUGAGAAGCGGUUUGUACUUUUAGUUUGAUGCGUGUUCAUGAGUAGUUUAAAAAGUGUGCUUGUUUCCUGCUUUUCUAUAACACUUGUUAGAUUGCUAUCAAAAAAUGUCAUGUAUUCAUGGAUUUGCUGCUGGUGUAGCAGCCCAGCAUGUAUUUUAUCAUCAGUUCGUAAAAGGAAAGCUGAAUCAGUGCAGUGUGCGUGUUAAAAAAAAUCAGUUUUAUUUUGUACGGUAGUUCAUUGUAUAGAAAAUUUGCAAUAGUUCUUGCUUUUCAGUUCAUCUACUUCCCCUUCGCAAGUCUAAUUAUUAGAAAUUCAAAUAUGAAAAAUAGCAUCCAUUUUGUUAUGUUCAUCAUAUUCAACCAAUUUUGUAUGUACAGACUUGCCUAUGUUGAUUAGUAGGGUAGAUCUCUGUUGCACAGUCGAGAUGUGUUCAGUCCAACCCCAUGGCAUUAGGGAGGUCGAGUUCGUCGCGAGCAGCAGUACAUGGUUGUUAGCUUACUCCAGCAGCCAGCCUAGCCUUCCCUCUCGGUCAUCAGUCCAACUUCUUGCUCUGACGCCGGUCACUCAAAGAGCCGUGUGCAGGCCACCCGUGUUUCACCUCCUGAUCCAGCUCAACUUUCUCCAUUCUUCAGCAUUUUUGAUUGUCGCAUGAUACUUGUAUUGGGUGCUAGAGUUCAUGUAUUACUGCCAGGAAAAAGUCAAGAUCUUCGCACAACAGAGAUCUAGAUGUUUGGAAU